Long non-coding RNA from Paramisgurnus dabryanus, 632 nucleotides. RefSeq lists it as uncharacterized. The record is from RefSeq and is a predicted model, not a curated record. Lineage: Eukaryota; Metazoa; Chordata; Actinopteri; Cypriniformes; Cobitidae.
GCUCGUACGAAAUCGUACGAUUAGUUCAUCGCAUGUAACACAGCCCUGUGUUGCAGGGAUUUCGUGCUAAUUAAUACGAAUAGAUUAAAUCGUACUAUACCAUACGAUUUUGUUCAUCGCAUUCAAGAAGCGUGACCCGUAGCCAGAAAAAAACUCUGGGUGUGCAUCUGAAAAUCUGCGUGUGUCACAGGCAAGAUAAGCAGAAACGCUGGGGAAUUCAGGUGCUGUAAAUCCGGUGGACAGGACUCAUCUCGUUAUAGAUCAAGAUAAUUUAUAAAGAUCUUUAAACGAAGGAUUGGAGUAUCAGAUAGUUGACAUGGUGUGCUACUGUGGGUGGCUCCGCCCCUGCCGUGACCCAAAUCUCGUUCGCACAUCAUCGCGAUAUGUAUCAUCUGUUUACAAACGUCGCCACUCGUUUCUUCACAUACAUCUCAUGCUCCUCCAUCUACACGCUCCACAACAUUUAAACCAACGGCUCUUUUAAGAGCCAUCACUUGCAAAAGCUCUCGUACUCGCUCUCCUACUCACUCACUCACUCUCCAACUCACUCUCCUACUAACUCACCCACUCUCCAACUCACUCACUCUUCUAUAGGGCUGUGCAAAAUAAUCGUCUGCAAUUCUCAUGCGUGU